CCCUUCCGGUCUUCGAGACCGCGUCUUCAACUUGCCGCAGGACCCCACGAAAGUGGCCAGAAAUGCGGACGAGGCGAAGUAACCCUUGACCAUGAGUACCUUUUGUUCCCUCGGCGGGCUCGCGCCCGUCGCUGGGCCCAUCCAAACCCCUUUGCAGUAGCAGUAUACCUCUGAUCGUGGGCACUUGAAUCUUUA
This 195-nucleotide unclassified non-coding RNA is filed under the name soil metagenome. RNAcentral's name for it is "partial internal transcribed spacer 1". The record is from RNAcentral.